UAGCUAGUUGGUGAGGUAAAGGCUUACCAAGGCGACGAUCUGUAGCGGGUCUGAGAGGAUGAUCCGCCACACUGGAACUGAGACACGGUCCAGACUCCUACGGGAGGCAGCAGUGGGGAAUAUUGGACAAUGGGGGCAACCCUGAUCCAGCCAUGCCGCGUGAGCGAAGAAGGCCUUCGGGUUGUAAAGCUCUUUCGGCCGGGAAGAAAUCGCAUGGGCCAAUACCCUGUGUGGAUGACGGUACCGGAAUAAGAAGCACCGGCUAACUACGUGCCAGCAGCCGCGGUAAUACGUAGGGUGCGAGCGUUAAUCGGAAUUACUGGGCGUAAAGCGUGCGCAGGCGGUUUUGUAAGACAGGCGUGAAAUCCCCGGGCUUAACCUGGGAACUGCGUUUGUGACUGCAAGGCUAGAGUACGGCAGAGGGGGGUGGAAUUCCACGUGUAGCAGUGAAAUGCGUAGAGAUGUGGAGGAACACCAAUGGCGAAGGCAGCCCCCUGGGUCGAUACUGACGCUCAUGCACGAAAGCGUGGGUAGCAAACAGGAUUAGAUACCCUGGUAGUCCACGCCCUAAACUAUGUCAACUAGGUGUUGGGUGGGUAAAACCAUUUAGUACCGUAGCUAACGCGUGAAGUUGACCGCCUGGGGAGUACGGCCGCAAGGUUAAAACUCAAAGGAAUUGACGGGGACCCGCACAAGCGGUGGAUGAUGUGGAUUAAUUCGAUUCAACGCGAAAAACCUUACCUACCCUUGACAUGCCAGGAACUUGCCAGAGAUGGCUUGGUGCCCGAAAGGGAGCCUGGACACAGGUGCUGCAUGGCUGUCGUCAGCUCGUGUCGUGAGAUGUUGGGUUAAGUCCCGCAACGAGCGCAACCCUUGUCGUUAAUUGCCAUCAUUUAGUUGGGCACUUUAACGAGACUGCCGGUGACAAACCGGAGGAAGGUGGGGAUGACGUCAAGUCCUCAUGGCCCUUAUGGGUAGGGCUCCACACGUCAUACAAUGGUCGGUACAAAGGGUUGCCAAGCCGCGAGGCGGAGCCAAUCCCAGAAAGCCGAUCGUAGUCCGGAUUGCAGGCUGCAACUCGCCUGCAUGAAGUCGGAAUCGCUAGUAAUCGUGGAUCAGCAUGUCACGGUGAAUACGUUCCCGGGUCUUGUACACACCGCCCGUCACACCAUGGGAGCGGGUUCCGCCAGAAGUAGGUAGCCUAACCGCAAGGGGGGCGCUUACCACGGCGGGGUUCGUGACUGGGGUGAAGUUGAAACAAGGUAGCCGUAGGGGAACCUGCGGCUG
This 1287-nucleotide ribosomal RNA is filed under the name metagenome. Its description in RNAcentral is "bacterial SSU rRNA". It matches the Rfam family "Bacterial small subunit ribosomal RNA", at positions 242 to 1520 of the family's 1533-position model. The record is from RNAcentral.